Molecule: ribosomal RNA, 460 nt
Filed under: uncultured bacterium
Lineage: Bacteria
Description: partial 16S ribosomal RNA
Rfam family: Bacterial small subunit ribosomal RNA
Source: RNAcentral
CCUACGGGUGGCAGCAGUGAGGAAUAUUGGUCAAUGGGCGGAAGCCUGAACCAGCCAAGUAGCGUGCAGGAUGACGGCCCUACGGGUUGUAAACUGCUUUUAUACGGGAAUAACGCGCCUUACGUGUAGGGCUUUGCAUGUAACGUAUUAAUAAGGCACGGGUAAUUCCGUGCCCGCAGCGGCGGUAAUACGGAAGGGCCGGGCGUUAUCCGGAUUUAUUUGGUUUAAAGGGCGCGUAGGCCGCAUGUCAAGCGUGCUGUGAAAUGUCCGGGCUCAACCCGGGCCUUGCAGCGCGAACUGGCGUGCUUGAGUCCGCGGAAAGCAGGCGGAAUUCGUCGUGUAGCGGUGCAAUGCUUAGAUAUGACGAAGAACCCCGAUUGCGAAGGCAGCUUGCUGCAGCGGAACUGACGCUGAUGCUCGAAAGCGCGGGUAUCGAACAGGAUUAGAUACCCUGGUAGUC